RNAcentral lists this transfer RNA (72 nucleotides) under Ictidomys tridecemlineatus (thirteen-lined ground squirrel). RNAcentral describes it as "Spermophilus tridecemlineatus (thirteen-lined ground squirrel) tRNA". It matches the Rfam family "tRNA". From Rfam's summary of the family: Transfer RNA (tRNA) molecules are approximately 80 nucleotides in length. Their secondary structure includes four short double-helical elements and three loops (D, anti-codon, and T loops). Lineage: Eukaryota; Metazoa; Chordata; Mammalia; Rodentia; Sciuridae. The record is from Rfam by way of RNAcentral.
UGGGUUGUGGCUCAAUGGUAGAGUGCUUGCCUCGAAUGCGGGGAGCACUGGGUUAGAUCCUCAGCAUCACAU